AACAAACGCUGGCGGCGUGCCUAAUACAUGCAAGUCGAACGGGGUAGCAAUACCUAGUGGCGCACGGGUGAGUAAUACAUGGGUAAUCUGCCUCAAAGUUGGGGAUAACCUUCGGCAAGGAAGGCUAAUACCGAAUAAGACCACAUGAUCUGCGGAUCAAGAGGUCAAAGGUUUUUCGCUUUGAGAUGAGCCCAUGCGGGAUUAGCUAGUUGGUGAGGUAAUGGCUCACCAAGGCAACGAUCCCUAGCUGGUCUGAGAGGAUGAUCCGCCACACUGAAACUGAGACACGGGCCAGACUCCUAAGGGAGGCAGCAGUAGGGAAUAUUGCGCAGUGGGGGAAACCCUGACGCAGCGACGCCGCGGGAGUGGUGAAGGCCUUCGGGUCGUAAAGCUCUGUCGUAUGGGAAUAAUAAACUGAAUGUACCAUACAAGAAAGGAUCGGCUAACUUCGUGCCAGCCGCCGCGGUAA
This 469-nucleotide ribosomal RNA is filed under the name uncultured bacterium. Its description in RNAcentral is "partial 16S ribosomal RNA". It matches the Rfam family "Bacterial small subunit ribosomal RNA", at positions 29 to 523 of the family's 1533-position model. The record is from RNAcentral.